AUCCAGCUGAAGAGUCCCAAAUAGGAUGAAACGCGCGUUUAAACUAUAU
This 49-nucleotide non-coding RNA is filed under the name Schistosoma margrebowiei. Lineage: Eukaryota; Metazoa; Platyhelminthes; Trematoda; Strigeidida; Schistosomatidae. The record is from RNAcentral.